CCCUCGCUCCCACCCCAGUGCCCCCAUCUGCCCCCAGUCAUCCCGCCGCCGGAGAGUCGUGUUAGUUGCUCGGUGGGCUACCGACCGACAGCCCGGGAUCCCAGCAUCUUGUCUGAUGUAGCCCCCCACCCCACCCCCCAAGCACGUCCCGGAGGCCUGGCACACAUUUCUCAGACACUUCAUUCCUUCCUUCCUCUGGGCUCCCUACUGAGAUAAUGUUGUAAAUGAUUUCACCAGAUCUCGUCCGGGAUGAGAUUCCGGGGCUCCUGACUCUACGUGACCUUGGGCAAGCCCCUCUUUUGCUUUUAUGAUGGAACGCACGCGCAGUGCCAGACACUGUUCAACCCUGGGAUUACCACGAUGAGAGAUACAGUGGCAGCCUGCAGAGUCUGCAGUCAACUGCAGAGACAGAUAGACCCUGAUUUUCUGACUGAUCACCAGGCAUUCCUUAUUUUCCCUUUCUUGUAGGGUUUAGAUGAUGGUCUGACAGAUCAGGAGGACCUAACCCAAACAGGAAACCACACUUCUGGACAAUAGUAUUGCCAGGCUCACUGGGGGAUGCAGGAAGCCUACAGAGUAAAAUACACACUCAUGAAUACAGCUGACAUAUGGAUCUCCUAAAGGAUUCCUCUUGGGAGGUCCUAGGUUCAAGAGAAACAGGCGUUUAGAUAGAGGUAAAAUGCUAUGGAGGUCUUGGAGAAUUAAAUUACUUUUAACUUGGGAUACUAUGGAAAACUUCCUGGAGGAGGUUGCUUGUGCAUUGUACCUUGAAAAAUAGGUAGGAUUGGGGUAUUGGAAAUGUGCCAGGUCAUGGGGCUGGCAAGGCUGGAAAUACCCAUGGCAUUAAAGGGCUAGAUCUUGGGAACUUGGAUCUUUAUUCUGGUAACAUGGUCUGGUGCUCAGGGUGAGAAGAAAUUUGAAGCCAUAACACAAGACCUUUAAACGUCUUGCUUUAUAGAGAAUUUUGGACUUUGCAUAAUGGACAGUCAUAAAAUGUUGAUUAGCAGAGAAGGGAUAACAGGUUUCUCUUUUAGAAACAUGGCCCUGGCGAAAGUGUGGAGUGGGUGCAGGGUCUGGAGAUAGGCCAGUUAGGAGGGUCAAGCCAGGGAAUCCACCUAAGUAACAGGUAUAGAUUGACACCCAGAAGCACCUGUUUAGAGUCAACUCACCUGGGCAUUGACUGGUCACUAUCCAACUACUUGAGUUCACCCCUUCAACCCAAUGUUCCCCCCACCACCUGGAGUCUGGCCAAGGCAUCCUUGUGUUUCUAACCAUCUUUACCUUCUAAGCUUCAUUUCCCACCUUCCAGGACAGCCCUGGAGACUGCAGCCAAAACUACCUCAUUGCAGGCUUGCUUUACUCCUCUUGCUCCUUGGGCUACUCUCUGGGAUGUGUGUGUGUGUGUGUGUGUGUGUGUGUGUGAACGAACACACAGCAGAGUGGGCUGUGCCCUAUCUCGUUCUGAAGAAGUGAUGAACAAAGCUUCCUUUGUUGACCUGCCACCUGGGCCAAUGGAGUUGGACUUUUCUUUCUUACUUUACACAGAAAGGAAAAGUGGUGAUGACAGAAAAUUGUCUAUUGCUUUCAAAAAAGUGGGGUUUCCCAUGUAUUUGAAAACCUCUUGGUGAAAGAUGGUGAGUUUAUGAAGUUAGCCUCCUUUGCCCUAUGCUCCCUCAAACUUCACAAGCUUCUUAAAAUGCUUCUGCUCAGCAUCUGACUUUUUUAAAAAAAUGCAUAAAUGCAUUGGCCCAGUUUCUUCUAAGGAACUAACCCCUUCCCAGGUAAGCUUUUAACCCUCUCCAAAAUCUUCCCAAUUUUUCAGAGCCAAAGUCUCUAAGCUCUGUUAUGACACUGACCACUGUCUGCUGCUGCUGGGCCCUAAUGAAAUAACUAGGUUGCCACCCCUGUCCCUUCAAGGCUGAGAAUUUUUCAUCUAAUUCUGUUAUCCCUGAUGAUGCGUGGAGAAUGAAAUAUAGUCAAGUAGAGUCUCAUUGCAGUACCACAAGCAGUCCCCUAGGUCAAAUAGUUAUUCAGCAACUCCUUUACUCCCACUUUUCGAAGUGUUUGGUAGAGUGAGACAAUAACUACACACACGCACACACACACACACACACUUAGAUGGAGGGACAGAGGGCCCAAGUAACCAAUAAUUAGUCCUUAGCUAUUAGUAUUUGCAUCUGGCAAGAAAACAAUUCGCGAGCUCCCUGACUUUCUCCACUGUAAUCAUUGAUGAAGAAAGUCUUGCAAAUAUGCUCAAAGAUUAUUUUUUAAUAUCCUUAUUCUGGUCAGUGAAAAUAGGACCAAGUUGGCACUCUCUCCAUUCUUUCUCCAGUGAGGCAGUAAGCUCCUCAGGAGAAAAUGUUUGGGUUUUGAAGCCUCUGCUUCAAUAGGAAACCAGCUUUAUUUUUUCAGUUAUCCUUUUCCUCCUACUGCCAAAGAAGAGAGAAAUGUAACAGCGGGCAUCAGUGGAGGUCACUUCUUUGAUCCCACUGUGAUAUCAGCAAAACGGAAUCUUUCCCACUGCAUCAUGCCCAACAAAUGCAAUCAGGGAUCCCAGGUUGGCUCCUCCCAGCAUGCCCCCCACUCACAAAGAGGGAUUUUUUUUGUCUUGUAUCACAUGUUUGCUUUUAAAGCAUAAGACAAAUACCUGCACCUCUAGUGAGACUCCCCUUUGUUUCCUAGGUAUGGGAAUGGUUUGUGAGUUUGGUUUAAAGCUACAGAAAGGAAAGAGCAAAAGAAGAGAAAAGCCUGCCAGGGACGUGCUAGCUGCCUUGCCAAGAGCUAUCCUGGGAGGGAUAUUGAAAGAGCCUCGAUGUUUGGCGGGCACAACAUCUUUGUUUGUAUGUGGUGCUGAGGAUUGAACCUGGGCCGCACGCAUGCCAGACGAGUGCGCUACCGCUUGAGCCACAUCCCCAGCCCUGGAUUUGCCUUGACAUGUCUAUAUUUAUGAAUUGGGCUACAGGGACAAGUUGGAGCAACAGUUAGCUCUGGGGUUGCUCACUGGAGCCUUCUGUAAUCUGGCCCACCAAACAUGCCCUCUCUGUUCCAGGGCCAUCCUUCCCCUUAGACCAACCCACCACCAAUUGUCCCUCAGAUCUCCCAUCCCUCAGUGCCCUCAGCUCUCCAAGAUAUUCCCUGCCUCCAAGACUCAGCCCCAUCCCCACUUCUUCACUCCAAACAGCUGCACUAUAAGUUGGAGGCAAUGAUUCUACUCUGCUUCACAUCUGUCACUCCUGGAGGUGACACAAAUAGCCCUGGGACCCCAGAGUCCCUUAAACACAAGAAUGAAUACCAAGUGUGCCUUCAGCCUGUGUGUGGCUAAAGUUGGUAUAUGGCAUUUCACAAGAAGGGAGAUUUUAUAUUUCCUCUUACUUUUUAAGUACAUUUUGCAUUAUAUUCUCCAUAUAUUCAUAUUUCUUUUAAUAUAAAAGUCACAUUUCUGCCCCCUUUCUCUGCCCAACUUUUUAAGUAAAAUUGAAAUUCCAACUUUCCUUUUGUUGGGCCACUGUACCCUUAAGAGAGGGCCUGUGCACCCCACUUUGAAAAGUUAGACAAUUUAACUUAAAUAUACAUGUUUAAAAAUUUCAGACUGUCCAAAAAGCUACAUCCUGAACAGUAGUCCUUCUGUCUGUAGACCCUGUCCCCCAAGCCCUGCCAAGGGGCAGUCAUCCUUACCUCUACCUUAUAUACCCAUCUGGGGAUUGCUAAUAAAUAGUCAGUGUCUGGGAGCAGAUGGUAACUGGCAAUUGAAGGUCAGCUGAGGCCCUGUGAAGCCAGCUCCUAGCCCUGCACUUCCAGGGCUAAAGCGCUCCUGUGCAGAAUGGCUGGCUGCUGCAUGGCCAACCUGCCAUUUUUAUUGUUGUCUUUGGCACAGACCCUUAGGGUGAGUUUUCAAAGACUCCACACUUGAGUGGUAUUGGGGCAUUUGGUGCCACCCUCCCUGGCUCUAGGUCUGUACCCUCACAAGGGGUUUGUUGUCAUUGAGAUGUCCCAGGGUGGCUGUUGUCUUCUCUGUCCCUCAAAGUCAGCCAGCCAAAGACAGGAACACAGCCAAAGGCACAUCAGGAAGAGAGGCAGGUGGGAGAGAAGGGGUGGAGGGGCCUGCCUCUGCCUGGCUGCUACAGCAGAGCCAGAGACGACAGCGAUUUGAGGGGGAGGCCUUCUCAUUCUCCCUGCCCCUCCUGUACCUGACAGACCUGAGGCUCACCUGAAAGGCGGUGCUCCGGGUCUACCUUUCCCAUGGGAAUUCAGCGCAGCCAACAUAACCCCUGAACUCUGCUGGGCCACUGCCAGCAACUCUCAGGCCUUCCCCCUGCCGACUGCAGUGACAUGAUGUCGUUUUUAUUGAGGCAAGAUUAGAUUUUUUUUUUUCUUUAAGUUUUCAGAAGUGUGGUUCACAUGAUCUCUAGUACUUUUCCUAUUGCUUAAAGACCACAGAGCUGACAAUUUCAAUUUGCUCCAGCUUUUAUCACUAGAAGAAGCUUAAAAGAAAAAAGAAAGAGGGUAGAUGAAAAUAUUCUCCUUGGCCCUGGCUGUCAGGGUGACGAUGGUAAAGGACCCCCACAUCGCCCACUUCCCUCAUGUCUCUCCUGUGAUACGAAGAUGUGAGGGUGCUGAGCACCGCAUGUCCAGCCUUGCUGACCAACAACACAUGAUGACCUCUAGAUCCAGGGGUCCUCAUGCCACAGGUAGAAAGGGAGCUCACAACCUUAAGUCACUACCAGCUAUCCCCGGAGUGUUCCAGAGGAUGCUCAUCUGAGAUAUGGGCAAAGUAAGCUCAGAAAAGUUUUCCUUCCUUUUGAUUCUAUUUUGCUAAUUCUCCUCCUCGGAGGCAAGAUUUCCUGUCCCUCCCUUUCACCUUUUCCUCUCUCCCCGCCCCUCCCUCCUGGCAACUCAUUUAUUGAGCAUAGUUAUUUAUUGCUUGGCUCUACAGGGUGAAAAGACAAAGUUCAUAUCACUCACCAUUUUUAAAGGAUAGUUGAAGGAUACUUAUUCACAUAAAUCAUGGGUUUCCAAGUAUCAAUUUAGCCCCCCAAAUAGGUCAUGUCAUGAAAAAUCAUGAAAAACCCGAGAACUGAUCACAGUUUUAUUUUGUUAUAAAAUCAGAGAAGAGCCUUCGAGGACUGAGAGACAUGCUGAAGAAAUGACUCCCUUCUGUUCCAGGGAAGACUCGGAGUGGAAAGAAUAUUUACAUGCCUGGGCCACGGAGGAGUCAUUUCAGACCCCAAUAGUCUGAUGCUCACAACAUCCUGCUGAGGAGGGAGGGGGAAGUGCAGCAUGGCCUUGUGUGGGACCAGUAUGUCAUAGGUGCUCAAGGGGUGGGGUGGGGGAUGUUGAGUGAAUGUUGAAUAAACCCCCAAUUUACAGCUCUAAGACGGGAUCAAGAGUAAUCAAGAGAUUGGUCUCAAGUCCGCAAGUCAAUGGCAUGGCCCAGCCUUGAGCUCAGACGUCAUAAGUACACACUCCCUAAUUCCUAGAGGCACCACCCUCUGGAGAUUUCUCCAACCUACUGCCUUCCCUAGGACAAGCAGGAAACAGACUCCAGAAGCUUUGUGAGUCUUUGGAGAGUAAAUUUUGUGGAUGAAGGUUAGACUGAGAUCAGACAUGGGCAGAACCUUUCAUCAGGAGACACUGCCCCCUUGGAAGGUUCUCCCAGGAUGAGUUGGUUGACUAAGAAGCCUGGGCGUUGGGUAUUGCUUUUGGGAUGUGGGCUUCUGAGCUGUGCCCAGGCCACUGUGAAAUAUCCUUGGGGAUCAUUGCCUUUUGGAAUUCUAUGCAUCCUCCCCCUGAACCAACGUAUUCUGUAGUUUUCAGUAGUGUAGAUCAGAAAAAGCUGGAUUCAGAGCCUACCCCAAGGAAUGACUCUCCGUUUGGUCUCGUGGACCUUGAUUUUUCUCCUCCAGAGAGGGAAGGAAAGGUGAUUGUGGGAGUGAAGUGAAUCCCAGUUAGCUCAGACAGCUUUGCCAGGGUUACAGAGCAAGGAGGCUGCAGAAUGGAACCAGGACUUGGAAGCCUCCUGACCCAGAAAGACAUUGAGUCCUUGCCUGGCCACCCAGAGGUGAAGAUCACAAUCCAGGCCAAGGGCCUAGGGCUGAAUCUGAAAGAUGCCUCUGGCCAGGAAAUGCAGUGUAGGCGCAGAGAGGAGGUUGAAGGAAAGGAGAGUCUGUAAGGUUGUUUGAAAAGGGAGACCAGAAGGCAUGGCAGCCCACCUUCCUGGCCACUCUACCCUGAGAACAUGAGACUGUACAGAAAGCUUUGGGUUGGAAAUCAGAGAAGAACCCAGGUUCUGGUCCUGUCUCUGCCAUAGGCUCAUUGUGUGCACCCCCUGAUAAAGUUGUCUCUGCCAUUUCUCUGGGGCCAGCUUCCCCAUUGUUGAUCUAACGGUUUACAAGCCACAACCUGUGGGGCUUCCUCCAGGGACCGUGGCUCGAGGGCCUCCAGGUGGUACUGAACAGGUGAGCCUUUCUCAAGCCCUAUAAUUCUUCUUCUAGAACCAUUUGGCUUUGCCUGUUCAGACAUUGCAUAACCUCAUAAGAUUUUGGUCAAAGAAAGUGCCCCAUUGAUUUUUUUUUUCUGUUGAGUUAAAACAAAACAAAACAAAACAAACAACCCCCCCCCCAAAAAAAAAAACAAACACCUGAACUAAGAUGUUUUCAAAUUCUCUCCGUCUUGAGAAUCUUGCAGUUCUCCAUGUGGCUUUUGGACUUUGUCUCCUCUUCUGUGUAACAUGUUGCUCUUUAGUCACCGUGUUGGUUUUUCUCUUCCCAGGGGAUCCUUGCAACAUGAUAUCACAUGAGUCUGUGAGACCUCUUGCAAAGGAUGUCUGGGACAGGGUGCCUGGCCCUCAGACUGUUCAUCACCUACCUGACACAGGAAGCUCACCUGUGCUUGCUGGCAAUGAGGAACUCUACAGUCACUUUUCCUCUGUGGGGUGAUUGACCAUGGUUCAAGACCAUGCUCCAAGUGCACUUCACAUAGAGAAUGAUGAAUGAUGAGUAUUCCACAGUGUCAAUGUCCUAAGGAAAAUGCCCUGCACAACUAAGGAGCCAGACCAGCCUCUAUCUGCCAUGGGCUAUGAGGAGCCGUUGGUUCCCCAAGGGUGGUGAAGAGUAUUGAGGAGUGUCACAGAGAGACAUCGGGAACCCUAGCCCCACACUGUCCAUCAGGCACAAGUACUUUUCAGCAUUGAAAUACGACUGUCCAAAUUGACAUGUGUGAUAAAGGUAAAAUGCAAACUGGAUUUUGAAGAUUUCACUUACAAAUGUAAAGCAUCUUAUGCAUGAUUUUUGUAUUAUUAUAAAUCAGGACAAUGAUAUUUUUACUAUAUUGGUUAAAUAAAAUAUAUCAUGGGAAUAAA
Ictidomys tridecemlineatus (thirteen-lined ground squirrel) is the source of this 7357-nucleotide non-coding RNA. The record is from RefSeq and is a predicted model, not a curated record. NCBI's taxonomy places the organism in Eukaryota, Metazoa, Chordata, Mammalia, Rodentia, Sciuridae.